AGAGUUUGAUCAUGGCUCAGGACGAACGCUGGCGGCGUGCUUAACACAUGCAAGUCGAACGAUGAACUCCAGCUUGCUGGGGGGAUUAGUGGCGAACGGGUGAGUAACACGUGAGUAACCUGCCCUGGACUCUGGGAUAACCCCGAGAAAUCGGAGCUAAUACCGGAUAGGACCUUUCCCUGCAUGGGGUUUGGUGGAAAGUUUUUCGGUUUGGGAUGGACUCGCGGCCUAUCAGCUUGUUGGUGAGGUAAUGGCUCACCAAGGCGUCGACGGGUAGCCGGCCUGAGAGGGUGACCGGCCACACUGGGACUGAGACACGGCCCAGACUCCUACGGGAGGCAGCAGUGGGGAAUAUUGCACAAUGGGCGCAAGCCUGAUGCAGCAACGCCGCGUGCGGGAUGACGGCCUUCGGGUUGUAAACCGCUUUUAGUAAGGAAGAAGGGGAGCUUGCUCCUUGACGGUACUUGCAGAAAAAGGACCGGCUAACUACGUGCCAGCAGCCGCGGUAAUACGUAGGGUCCGAGCGUUGUCCGGAAUUAUUGGGCGUAAAGAGCUCGUAGGCGGUUUGUCGCGUCUGCUGUGAAAUCCCGAGGCUCAACCUCGGGCCUGCAGUGGGUACGGGCAGACUUGAGUGGUGUAGGGGAGACUGGAAUUCCUGGUGUAGCGGUGGAAUGCGCAGAUAUCAGGAGGAACACCGAUGGCGAAGGCAGGUCUCUGGGCACUUACUGACGCUGAGGAGCGAAAGCGUGGGGAGCGAACAGGAUUAGAUACCCUGGUAGUCCACGCCGUAAACGUUGGGCGCUAGAUGUGGGGACCUUUCCACGGUUUCCGUGUCGUAGCUAACGCAUUAAGCGCCCCGCCUGGGGAGUACGGCCGCAAGGCUAAAACUCAAAGGAAUUGACGG
Molecule: ribosomal RNA, 904 nt
Filed under: uncultured bacterium
Lineage: Bacteria
Description: bacterial SSU rRNA
Rfam family: Bacterial small subunit ribosomal RNA
Source: RNAcentral